This is a non-coding RNA of Strongylocentrotus purpuratus (purple sea urchin), 45 nucleotides long. Lineage: Eukaryota; Metazoa; Echinodermata; Echinoidea; Camarodonta; Strongylocentrotidae. The record is from Rfam.
CCAACGGCUCUUCUAAGAGCCACCCACAACUCCAAGAAAGGAUCA